Molecule: long non-coding RNA, 916 nt
Filed under: Felis catus (domestic cat)
Lineage: Eukaryota; Metazoa; Chordata; Mammalia; Carnivora; Felidae
Description: lncRNA (ENSFCAG00000051235.1)
Source: RNAcentral
CGAAAACUUCAGUCUUUACAUUCUCAAAUGUUUAGUUAAUUUUUUGCUGCUGUCAUUUCUUCUAUUGAAUUUUGGUUGCAAAAGUCCUUUUUACCUUUUAUUAUUGGCAUUCUUCAUUUAAAAAUAUAUUCCAGUUAAAAUAUAUUUUAAUAUAUGUUAUAAAAUGUGGAUUUGGCUUGAUAUUUCUAAUAGGUAGUCAACUAGCCUCAGUAUGUGUUUGUCUUUAAACUCAGUUGGAGUCAUGGGAUGUGUCUUUACUUUAGAAUUUUGGAAAAUUAAGAGUACAAAGCUAAAACACAUAUACAAAAGAGGCAAGUAUUUUAUUCUACUUCUACCUUUCCAUUGUUCAUGUUUAGUAUAAUAUGACUGCUCAUCUUAUUUUAUAUGCUUACAACAUUAGAUAAAACACUACACAGGAUUUUAUUUCUUACUAAGAAUUUGUAAAGUUUCCUUUUCCUCUACUUUUUUUCUUCUUGACCAGUUUUGCCAAUUAUAAUAUAGAUUGCUUGUGGAUGGAUAUGUCUGAAAGGUUAUUUGUAUCUGAGCACAGCUAAUUCUAGGCACAGAUCUAAUGUCAAAAUAAAGUAAUCAGUAUAUAUCCUGUCCCUUGCUUCUCUCUACCAGUUUCAGAUUCUGUUUCAUGGAGCAAAAAUACAGCCCCGUCUUCUUCUGCAGUGACAAUCCAGAGGAUUAUUUCUCUCUUCAUUUAGCAGCUCCUCAUUCAGUAUCUUCUCGUUUGUAAGAAAGGCCACCUUCCAUGAUGAACUCCUGUCUCUGCCUAUACUAUGAUCCACUAUCUCAGGAUGAAGUAUUUGGAUUUGAAUGCAGACUUUCCCUGCCACAACUUCCUACUUGUGUGGACAAGAGAACCCUGGCAUGGAAUGUGGAACCCAUGGAUUAUCUCUUACAUGAAUGA